Molecule: ribosomal RNA, 440 nt
Filed under: uncultured bacterium
Lineage: Bacteria
Description: partial 16S ribosomal RNA
Rfam family: Bacterial small subunit ribosomal RNA
Source: RNAcentral
CCUACGGGGUGCAGCAGCAAGGAAUUUUGCGCAAUGGGCGAAAGCCUGACGCAGCCACGCCGCGUGGGGGAAGAAGGCCUUCGGGUUGUAAACCCCUUUUGUUGGGGAAGAGAGAGGACGGUACCCAACGAAUAAGCCUCGGCUAACUACGUGCCAGCAGCCGCGGUAAGACGUAGGAGGCGAGCGUUAUCCGGAUUUAUUGGGCGUAAAGGGCACGCAGGCGGUUCCUUAAGUCCAGAGUGAAAUCUUCCCGCUUAACGGGGAGGGGUCUUUGGAUACUGGGGAGCAAGAGGAAGGCAGAGGGAGGCGGAAUUCCCGGUGUAGGGGUGAAAUCCGUAGAUAUCGGGAGGAACACCAGUGGCGAAGGCGGCCUCCUGGGCCUUUCCUGACGCUGAGGUGCGAAAGCGUGGGGAGCAAACCGGAUUAGAUCCCCGGGUAGU